GACGAACGCUGGCGGCGUGCUUAACACAUGCCAGUCGAACGGAAAGGCCUGCUUUCCCUUGUGGAUUGCGGGUACUCGAGUGGCGAACGGGUGAGUAACACGUGAGUGAUCUGCCCCCAACUUGGGUAUAAGCCUGGGAAACUGGGUCUAAUUCCCGAUAGGACUGCAGGGUGGUGCCUGUGGUGGAAAACGAUUUUCUAGUGGUUGGGGAUGAGCUCGCGGCCUAUCAGCUUGUUGGUGGGGUAAUGGCCUACCAAGGCGGCGACGGGUAGCCGGCCUGAGAGGGUGGACGGCCACAUUGGGACUGAGAUACGGCCCAGACGCCUACGGGAGGCAGCAGUGGGGAAUAUUGCACAAUGGGCGGAAGCCUGAUGCAGCGACGCCGCGUGGGGGAGGACGGCCUUCGGGUUGUAAACUCCUUUCGACCGCGAGGAAGCCACCUGGUUGGAAGGGUGGUGACGGUAGUGGUAGAAGAAGCACCGGCUAACUACGUGC
This 495-nucleotide ribosomal RNA is filed under the name uncultured bacterium. Its description in RNAcentral is "partial 16S ribosomal RNA". It matches the Rfam family "Bacterial small subunit ribosomal RNA", at positions 28 to 508 of the family's 1533-position model. The record is from RNAcentral.